UACAGAGACUGCAAGCGUUAUUCGGAUUCACUGGGCGUAAAGGGUGCGCAGGCGGCCAAGUGUGUGAGGCGUGAAAGCCUGGGGCUUAACUCCAGAAUUGCACCUCAAACUACAUGGCUAGAGCAUUGGAGAGGGUAGCAGAAUUCACGGUGUAGCAGUGAAAUGCGUAGAUAUCGUGAGGAAUACCAGAGGCGAAGGCGGCUACCUGGACAAUUGCUGACGCUCAGGCACGAAAAGCGUGGGGGAGCAAAAAGGG
Molecule: ribosomal RNA, 256 nt
Filed under: uncultured bacterium
Lineage: Bacteria
Description: partial 16S ribosomal RNA
Rfam family: Bacterial small subunit ribosomal RNA
Source: RNAcentral